Molecule: ribosomal RNA, 858 nt
Filed under: uncultured organism
Description: bacterial SSU rRNA
Rfam family: Bacterial small subunit ribosomal RNA
Source: RNAcentral
UAGAGUUUGAUCCUGGCUCAGGAUGAACGCUGGCGGCGUGCUUAACACAUGCAAGUCGAACGGGACUCUUCGGAGUCCAGUGGCGGACGGGUGAGUAACGCGUGAGAAUCUGCCUUCCGGAUGGGGACAACCGCUGGAAACGGCGGCUAAUCCCCAAUGUGCCGAGAGGUAAAACGGGUGAAACCGCCGGAAGAGGAGCUCGCGUCCGAUUAGCUAGUUGGUGGGGUAACAGCUCACCAAGGCCACGAUCGGUAGCCGGUCUGAGAGGACGAUCGGCCACACUGGGACUGAGACACGGCCCAGACUCCUACGGGAGGCAGCAGUGGGGAAUUUUCCGCAAUGGGCGAAAGCCUGACGGAGCAACGCCGCGUGGGGGAGGAAGGCUCUUGGGUUGUAAACCCCUUUUCUCAGGGAAGAAGCUCUGACGGUACCUGAGGAAUCAGCCUCGGCUAACUCCGUGCCAGCAGCCGCGGUAAUACGGAGGAGGCAAGCGUUAUCCGGAAUUAUUGGGCGUAAAGCGUCCGCAGGUGGCUAUUUAAGUCUGCUGUCAAAGACCGGGGCUCAACUCCGGGUCGGCAGUGGAAACUGGAUAGCUAGAGUACGGUAGGGGUAGAGGGAAUUCCCGGUGUAGCGGUGAAAUGCGUAGAGAUCGGGAAGAACACCGGUGGCGAAGGCGCUCUACUGGACCGUGACUGACACUCAGGGACGAAAGCUAGGGGAGCGAAAGGGAUUAGAUACCCCUGUAGUCCUAGCUGUAAACGAUGGACACUAUGUGUUGUCUGUAUCGACCCGGACAGUGCCGAAGCUAACGCGUUAAGUGUCCCGCCUGGGGAGUACGCACGCAAGUGUGAAACUCAA